Delphinapterus leucas (beluga whale) is the source of this 2759-nucleotide non-coding RNA. NCBI's taxonomy places the organism in Eukaryota, Metazoa, Chordata, Mammalia, Artiodactyla, Monodontidae. The record is from RefSeq and is a predicted model, not a curated record.
GGGAGGGGGUAUAGGCCCGACCUCUCGAUGUGGGAGGGUCAACAUUCCUAGUAAGGAGGACGGUGGGACAUCAGCUAUUGCUGCAGGCAUGUAUGAGGGUUCUGCAGAGCAAAGGAACCAGCUGGAGACGGACUGACUGAUAUAAGGAAUUGGCUCAUGCAGUUCUGGAAGCUGAGACGUCCCAGGAUCUGCAGUCCGCUCCCUGGGGAGCCAGUGGCGUAAGUUCCAGUCUGUGGGCAGGAGAGACUGUUGUUCCAGCUCAGCAGGCAGGCAAGAAAAGUUCUUUUUCGUCAGCUUGUUGGUUCUAUUCAGGCCUUCGAUGCAUUGGGUGAGACCCACCCACACUGGGGAGAACAACCUGCUUUACUCAGUCUACCGAUUCAACUGUUAAUCUCACCCAGAAACAGACACACCCAGAAAAACGUUGGACCAAAUAUCUGAGCACCCCGAGGCCCCGUCAAGUUGAUGUAUAAUAUUAACCAUCAAAGUCAUCUCUGAAAAACACAAAUACCACAUUCUCAGAGGAACGGACUUCCACCCCUUAGGUCCCCAGGCCUUGUAAGUGAAGGAGCCCAGAGGUGGCAAUGGUGACUACGGGAGUCGCAGAAGACCCUAUAGUCAGAGCGCUGCCGCUUUAGAGGGAAAGCCAGAAGCCUUUGUAAAUAAAGACACAGAUGGAGAGAUUAAAGAACUUGCUCAUGACUGUACAGCUGGUGAGGAUGGAUGUUGGACGCAAACAACGUCCAUCUGACGCUCAGCGUUUACUCGCUACAUGCUCAUUGCACGAGGUCAGAGUUCCUCUUACUGGGGGGAAGCAAUGAGGAAUGGGGAAGUGAGGCUGAUGCAAGGAAAUAGCAAUGAGAGGGAAAUGGAAACCACAUUUCUUCCUGGCACAGCUCUGUGGCUGUUGACCUUUAAGGGACAAGUAGGUGGAAUCCCUGAUUCUAGGGAUACCAGUGAACUGGGGCAGGAGACGGUCUUGCCAUGAGACCGGGGAAAGGGGUCUGCCUGGGUUUAAUGAGAAUGGAAAGGGUUGUCAGGUCUAGGGACACCUGGCUUCUCCCCACAGGCAUGGCCCUGGGAAUCACACCUCAACGGCUGGACAUCUUCUCUCUCCUGCUCUCAGUCUUGAGGUUUCCUGGGAAAGCCUGUCUCAUUUAUUAUAAACUAAUUUCCUGGGAGAAGGUGGGAGAGAGUGGAUGGUGAAGAGAUACAGGAAACGGGAGCUGGGCUUCUGGCUUGGGCACCACUAGUUGGUGUAGAGGACGUGGUCUCCGAGUUUCCUUCCAGCUCUGUGCCUCGUGUGUCCUAAGUGCUCGAAGGUGCUGAACUGAUCUCCAGUCUCUCCAUGGCAAAGUGAGGGCUCUGUUUCCUGAGGAGCCUGAGCAAUCCCGCCCAGAUGUUCUCAACGCCAUCCACCGUGGGAACGCACACCAUGCAUCAUGGGACAGAGCCUACUGGGAUGUCCUGGGUGUUGUGAAGGGGCCUGGCGGGCACUGAGGGACACUCACCCCAUCUCAUGGACUCAGGGAAAUCACCCGAGGCUGACCCCAUGCUAACUACUGAGGUUCACAGUCCUAGGAACAGCAAAGGAGGAAAACACACAUCUGCACAGAGCCUCAGUGGCCCCAUCCACAUAAUAAGGAUCAGGCACAUGUUCCAGAAGGAUUUCCAAGUGAUGGCCCCCAAAGGCACUCCCCACUCCAGGAUGAGGGGGCUCUUUGGCCAGCCGGUAUGCAGCAAUUAAUUCGGACGGCUGUGUUGUGACCCAUUGAAGGAAAAAGCAGUGAGUGAAAAAAGAAGAGUUCUGCCGUUAUUGGAUUUAAAUUGUGGUUGAGAAGACUGGGACAUAGGAUGGUGCUGGAAACUGAGAUGUGGAAGCAUUUAGAUUGUGAAGCUGGGGGUCCCUUUCCAGGAAUGAGGAGAAGUGGGAAUCCCUAAAAUGAGAAUGAUUUUUUCAGAGAGAAGUGAAGGUAUUCUACCAGUUAGGACGGGACAAAGCUAAGUUGGGCGAGGCACUUUGUGUAACAGAACAAGCCCUGAAUUGGGGGCUAAAGGAUUGGGUUUUAAGUCUCAACUCUGCAACUUACUAGCUUUGUGACCUCCGGGAAUAACUUCCUUAAGUUUCAUUUUGUCAUCUAUCCCGUAGGAAUAGUAAUGUAUCAGGAUGGUUUUACUUGCAGAGAACUGAAAACCCAAUUCAAAAUGGCUUAAAUACUAGAGGAAAUGAUUUAGCUCAUGGCUCAUGAAAAGUCCAUUAGUGGCCAAAGCUUCAGGCAUGGUUUGAUCAAGGGCUUGAACAAACAAAAAACUAUGCAUCUAGGAAAACAUAGUUCAAAUACUGUAUAUAUGAUAAUGAAAGUUAGUAAUGCUCAUUAUUUAAUAAAGUUUGUAAAGUGAAAAUGAUAAAAAAAUUUGUAAAAUGAUAAAAAAAUUGUAAAAAUUUGUUAAAUUAAAAUUAAUUUAAAAUUUAAAUGAUAAAAAAUUUGUAAAAGUUUGUAAAAAAAAAAUGAUAAGACGACUCCAUCUUGGCUGAAAGAUGCACACGCCACCAGGAAGGACCCUGAGUCAGACUAUGGGCCAAGCAAGACGAUUGGCUGGAGACAACCUGGAAACUAACCCCAUUACCUUAAAACCUAAGACUUCGAGCCACGUAGCAGAGCAAUUCUCCUGGGUUCCCUUACCCUGCUGCUCUCUGCCUGAGUGCCCCUUCCCAAUAAAAUCUCUCGCUCUGUCAGUACGUGUGUCUCCUCCGACAA